GACGAACGCUGGCGGCGUGCUUAACACAUGCAAGUCGAACGGAAAGGCCCUGCUUGCAGGGUACUCGAGUGGCGAACGGUUGAGUACCACGUUGGUGAUCUGCCCUGCACUUCGGGAUAAGCCUGGGAAACUGGUUCUAAUACCGGAUCGGAGCCAUUUUUAGUUUGAUUGUUGGAAAGUUUUUUCGGUGUAGGAUGAGCUCGCGGCCUAUCAGCUUGUUGGUGGGGUAAUGGCCUACCAAGGCGGCGGCGGGUAGCCGGCCUGGGAGGGUGGACGGCCACAGUGGGACUGAGAUACGGCCCAGACUCCUACGGGAGGCAGCAGUGGGGAAUAUUGCAAAAUGGGCGCAAGCCUGAUGCAGCGACGCCGAGUGGGGGAUGACGGCCUUCGGGUUGUAAACUCCUUGCGCUAGGGACGAAGCUUUUUGUGACGGUACCUAGAUAAGAAGCACCGGCUAACUACGUG
Molecule: ribosomal RNA, 465 nt
Filed under: uncultured bacterium
Lineage: Bacteria
Description: partial 16S ribosomal RNA
Rfam family: Bacterial small subunit ribosomal RNA
Source: RNAcentral